Megalobrama amblycephala (Wuchang bream) is the source of this 1578-nucleotide long non-coding RNA. RefSeq lists it as uncharacterized. NCBI's taxonomy places the organism in Eukaryota, Metazoa, Chordata, Actinopteri, Cypriniformes, Xenocyprididae. The record is from RefSeq and is a predicted model, not a curated record. The transcript is spliced from 2 exons.
UCCUUGCACUGGCUUCCAGUUGCAUUUAGAAUUGAUUUUAAAGUACUGUUACUUGUUUAUAAAUCACUCAAUGGCCUAGGACCUCAAUACAUUGCAGAUAUGCUCAUAGAAUAUAAACCUAAAAGAUCACUCAGAUCAAUAGCAUCACAUCAGUUAGAAAUACCAAGGGUUCACUCAAAGCAAGGAGAGUCUGCUUGUAACGAUCGGCCCAAUAGGUUGAUUUUACAUGAAUUAAAAGGGGGUCAGAUUAAACUGUGUGAGAGAUUUGGAGUGUUUUAAAAGAUGAGACAGACAACAGAAAUGGAUAAAUAAAGUGUAUUUACAAUAUUCACAAGGAACUUAAAACAACACAAUAAAACUAGUAUAACUUAGGCUGUUUAAAAGCGUGGAGUCUGUCUUUAAGAGUCCUAGUAGCGUGCUGAAAGUCCCAAUGCGAAAGUGUCCACCGGUGUAUAUACAAAGUCCAUGGAAGUGUUAAUCCAAGUGAAGAUGAUGUGAAGUGCUGGAAAGGUAAGUCUUUAAAAACAACUCCGCAAUCCAGCUUGUGGUCAUUUGAUUUAUGACCCAAUUUGUUUGCCAUGCUGCCUCCUUUAUGCUGGCUAACUUCCUGGUUCCUGUCAUGUGAUCAGUCACAUGACAGGCAGACCCAUACACAUUUAAAGACAUACACACAUAAAAUGUUAAGAGGAAUAAAAUGGACUAAAACACAUGUAAACCAAUUAAAACUCUAUUAUACAUAAAAUCAUUGUAAUAAAUAGAGCGGUAAAACAUGAAUUUUGUGUGACAGUGUCACAUAGUCCCCCCUCUUAGCUUACGUCACCUUGGGGAAGAAACUAGUCCUUAAAAGGUACUGUCAACCAUUGUCCUCUCGAAUGUGUCUCUUAAAAUGUCUUUGCAAUAAAUUAGAUAAAACUAGGCCCUCCCACAGAGGCACUAGUCUGCUGUAGGAAUCUAUUGGAACACUAGAGAGAGGUGGGAUCAGAUACCAGCCUGGAUGUCCUUGGGUCAGUGACGCCAUUCCUCCCAAGGUCCUGUAGCAUCCAGCAUUUUAUCCACUCAAUAUAUAUAACAUGAUGGUUUUAUGUAUAUUUGAGUUUUAACUGGGUUACAUGUUGUCUUAGCCAUUUUAUUCCUCUUACGUAUUUUAAUGUGUGUAUGUCUUUAAAUGUGUAUGGGUCUGCCUGUCAUGUGACUGAUCACAUGACAGGAACCAGGAAGUAAACCAGUAUAAAGGAGGCGGCAUGACAAACAAUCAGCCUCCCAUUACAAAUGUGAUCACAAAUCAGCUGGACUGUGGAGUUUAAUUUUAUGGACUUACCUUUCCAGCGAAUCGCAUCACUUUUCAUUGGAUUAACACUUCCGUGGACUUUGUAUAUACACCGGUGGACACUUUCACAUUGGGACCUUAUCAGCACACUAGGAUUCUUAUGGACUGUUUUAUGUCAACAAGAAGAUUGAGAAAGAAGUUGAUAACUAUGAAGCCAAGUAUCGGGGAAGAGAGCUUCCAGGAUUCAUCAAUUACAAGACCUUUGAGGGGCUUGUUAGGGAACAGAUCAAGCUGUUGGAAGAACCUGCCUU